CAUGCAAGUCGAACGGAGUCUGCAUGAAACCUAGUGAUUGCAGACUUAGUGGCGGACGGGUGAGUAACGCGUGGGUAACCUGCCUUGUACUGGGGGACAACAGUUGGAAACGACUGCUAAUACCGCAUAAGCGCACAGCUUCGCAUGAAGCAGUGUGAAAAACUGAGGUGGUACAAGAUGGACCCGCGUCUGAUUAGCUGGUUGGUGAGGUAACGGCUCACCAAGGCGACGAUCAGUAGCCGGCCUGAGAGGGUGAACGGCCACAUUGGGACUGAGACACGGCCCAAACUCCUACGGGAGGCAGCAGUGGGGAAUAUUGCACAAUGGGGGAAACCCUGAUGCAGCGACGCCGCGUGAGUGAAGAAGUAUUUCGGUAUGUAAAGCUCUAUCAGCAGGGAAGAAAGAAAUGACGGUACCUGACUAAGAAGCCCCGGCUAACUACGUGCCAGCAGCCGCGGUAAUACGUAGGGGGCAAGCGUUAUCCGGAUUUACUGGGUGUAAAGGGAGCGUA
RNAcentral lists this ribosomal RNA (511 nucleotides) under uncultured bacterium. Its description in RNAcentral is "bacterial SSU rRNA". It matches the Rfam family "Bacterial small subunit ribosomal RNA", at positions 54 to 573 of the family's 1533-position model. The record is from RNAcentral.